This 388-nucleotide long non-coding RNA is filed under the name Equus caballus (horse). RNAcentral describes it as "lncRNA (ENSECAG00000045191.1)". The record is from RNAcentral. Lineage: Eukaryota; Metazoa; Chordata; Mammalia; Perissodactyla; Equidae.
GUUAGGUCUAAUUUCUGGAGGGUUGGACUUUGAGAACUGGCUGAUAAGAUUGGCCAUUUGUCCUUAGGCAAUGGAGAGCAAGGAAAGAUUUAUGGAGCAGAAAGUUAUAUGAUCCACAUGUGCUUUGGAAGAAGUUUGCCUGUAUUGGAAAGGAUAGAGUCUUGUGGAAAGGAGUUUAGGUAGAAGAUUUUGGUUACAGAAUCACGAAGAUCCGACAACUGAUUAAAUGUGGAUGGGGGACAAGGCGGGGAAGAUGAAGUCAAAGAGGCAUCUGAAGGCAACUUCAUGUACUGCUUGUGAUGCAUGACUCCCGACACACAGACCGAGUGAAGGAGCCAACAUCGAUUCAUGUGCUUGAACUUCUUAGGAUGGAGACCCUGGGUCCUUC